Molecule: ribosomal RNA, 253 nt
Filed under: uncultured bacterium
Lineage: Bacteria
Description: partial 16S ribosomal RNA
Rfam family: Bacterial small subunit ribosomal RNA
Source: RNAcentral
UACAGAGGUCCCAAGCGUUGUUCGGAUUCACUGGGCGUAAAGGGUGCGUAGGCGGUUUGACAAGUCUGAUGUGAAAUCCCGCAGCUUAACUGCGGUACUGCAUUGGAAACUGUUUGACUAGAGGAAUGGAGGGGAGACUGGAAUACUUGGUGUAGCAGUGAAAUGCGUAGAUAUCAAGUGGAACACCAGUGGCGAAGGCGAGUCUCUGGACAUUUCCUGACGCUGAGGCACGAAAGCCAGGGGAGCAAACGGG